RNAcentral lists this ribosomal RNA (1352 nucleotides) under uncultured bacterium. RNAcentral describes it as "bacterial SSU rRNA". It matches the Rfam family "Bacterial small subunit ribosomal RNA", at positions 28 to 1381 of the family's 1533-position model. The record is from RNAcentral.
AUUGAACGCUGGCGGCAUGCCUUACACAUGCAAGUCGAACGGCAGCACGGAGCUUGCUCUGGUGGCGAGUGGCGAACGGGUGAGUAAUAUAUCGGAACGUACCCUGGAGUGGGGGAUAACGUAGCGAAAGUUACGCUAAUACCGCAUACGAUCUACGGAUGAAAGUGGGGGAUCGCAAGACCUCAUGCUCGUGGAGCGGCCGAUAUCUGAUUAGCUAGUUGGUAGGGUAAAAGCCUACCAAGGCAUCGAUCAGUAGCUGGUCUGAGAGGACGACCAGCCACACUGGAACUGAGACACGGUCCAGACUCCUACGGGAGGCAGCAGUGGGGAAUUUUGGACAAUGGGCGAAAGCCUGAUCCAGCAAUGCCGCGUGAGUGAAGAAGGCCUUCGGGUUGUAAAGCUCUUUUGUCAGGGAAGAAACGGUGAGGGCUAAUAUCCCUUGCUAAUGACGGUACCUGAAGAAUAAGCACCGGCUAACUACGUGCCAGCAGCCGCGGUAAUACGUAGGGUGCAAGCGUUAAUCGGAAUUACUGGGCGUAAAGCGUGCGCAGGCGGUUUUGUAAGUCUGAUGUGAAAUCCCCGGGCUCAACCUGGGAAUUGCAUUGGAGACUGCAAGGCUAGAAUCUGGCAGAGGGGGGUAGAAUUCCACGUGUAGCAGUGAAAUGCGUAGAUAUGUGGAGGAACACCGAUGGCGAAGGCAGCCCCCUGGGUCAAGAUUGACGCUCAUGCACGAAAGCGUGGGGAGCAAACAGGAUUAGAUACCCUGGUAGUCCACGCCCUAAACGAUGUCUACUAGUUGUCGGGUCUUAAUUGACUUGGUAACGCAGCUAACGCGUGAAGUAGACCGCCUGGGGAGUACGGUCGCAAGAUUAAAACUCAAAGGAAUUGACGGGGACCCGCACAAGCGGUGGAUGAUGUGGGUUAAUUCGAUGCAACGCGAAAAACCUUACCUACCCUUGACAUGGCUGGAAUCCUCGAGAGAUCGGGGAGUGCUCGAAAGAGAACCAGUACACAGGUGCUGCAUGGCUGUCGUCAGCUCGUGUCGUGAGAUGUUGGGUUAAGUCCCGCAACGAGCGCAACCCUUGUCAUUAGUUGCUACGAAAGGGCACUCUAAUGAGACUGCCGGUGACAAACCGGAGGAAGGUGGGGAUGACGUCAAGUCCUCAUGGCCCUUAUGGGUAGGGCUUCACACGUCAUACAAUGGUACAUACAGAGCGCCGCCAACCCGCGAGGGGGAGCUAAUCGCAGAAAGUGUAUCGUAGUCCGGAUUGUAGUCUGCAACUCGACUGCAUGAAGUUGGAAUCGCUAGUAAUCGCGGAUCAGCAUGUCGCGGUGAAUACGUUCCCGGGUCU